Molecule: ribosomal RNA, 376 nt
Filed under: uncultured bacterium
Lineage: Bacteria
Description: bacterial SSU rRNA
Rfam family: Bacterial small subunit ribosomal RNA
Source: RNAcentral
AGCGAACGCUGGCGGCAGGCUUAACACAUGCAAGUCGAGCGGGCGUAGCAAUACGUCAGCGGCAGACGGGUGAGUAACGCGUGGGAACGUACCUUUUGGUUCGGAACAACCCAGGGAAACUUGGGCUAAUACCGGAUAAGCCCUUACGGGGAAAGGAUUUAUCGCCGAAAGAUCGGCCCGCGUCUGAUUAGCUAGUUGGUGAGGUAACGGCUCACCAAGGCGACGAUCAGUAGCUGGUCNGAGAGGAUGAUCAGCCACAUUGGGACUGAGACACGGCCCAAACUACCUACGGGAGGGCAGCAGUGGGGAAUAUUGGACAAAUGGGCGCAAGCCUGAUCCAGCCAUGCCGCGUGAGUGAUGAAGGCCCUAGGGUUGU